UCCCAAGAUGGUGUAGUCACUGACGGG
RNAcentral lists this non-coding RNA (27 nucleotides) under Rattus norvegicus (Norway rat). Lineage: Eukaryota; Metazoa; Chordata; Mammalia; Rodentia; Muridae. The record is from RNAcentral.